Molecule: ribosomal RNA, 636 nt
Filed under: uncultured Roseovarius sp.
Lineage: Bacteria; Pseudomonadati; Pseudomonadota; Alphaproteobacteria; Rhodobacterales; Roseobacteraceae
Description: bacterial SSU rRNA
Rfam family: Bacterial small subunit ribosomal RNA
Source: RNAcentral
AACGUGCCCAGAUCUACGGAAUAGCCACUGGAAACGGUGAGUAAUACCGUAUACGCCCUUCGGGGGAAAGAUUUAUCGGAUUUGGAUCGGCCCGCGUUAGAUUAGGUAGUUGGUGGGGUAACGGCCUACCAAGCCUACGAUCUAUAGCUGGUUUUAGGGGAUGAUCAGCAACACUGGGACUGAGACACGGCCCAGACUCCUACGGGAGGCAGCAGUGGGGAAUCUUGGACAGUGGGGGCAACCCUGAUCCAGCCAUGCCGCGUGAGUGAAGAAGGCCCUAGGGUCGUAAAACUCUUUCGCCUGUGAUGAUAAUGACAGUAGCAGGUAAAGAAACCCCGGCUAACUCCGUGCCAGCAGCCGCGGUAAUACGGAGGGGGUUAGCGUUGUUCGGAAUUACUGGGCGUAAAGCGCACGUANGCGGAUUAGAAAGUUAGAGGUGAAAUCCCGGGGCUCAACCCCGGAACUGCCUUUAAAACUACUAGUCUAGAGUUCGAGAGAGGUGAGUGGAAUUCCGAGUGUAGAGGUGAAAUUCGUAGAUAUUCGGAGGAACACCAGUGGCGAAGGCGGCUCACUGGCUCGAUACUGACGCUGAGGUGCGAAAGUGUGGGGAGCAAACAGGAUUAGAUACCCUGGUAG